Molecule: ribosomal RNA, 93 nt
Filed under: Rhipsalidopsis gaertneri
Lineage: Eukaryota; Viridiplantae; Streptophyta; Magnoliopsida; Caryophyllales; Cactaceae
Description: Schlumbergera gaertneri partial 23S ribosomal RNA
Source: RNAcentral
UUCAAACGAAGAAAGGCUUACGGUGGAUUCCUAGGCACCCAGAGACGAGGAAGGGCGUAAUAAUCGACGAAAUGCUUCGGGGAGUUGAAAAAA